RNAcentral lists this ribosomal RNA (481 nucleotides) under uncultured bacterium. RNAcentral's name for it is "partial 16S ribosomal RNA". It matches the Rfam family "Bacterial small subunit ribosomal RNA", at positions 31 to 507 of the family's 1533-position model. The record is from RNAcentral.
GAACGCUGGCGGCAGGCCUAACACAUGCAAGUCGAGCGGAUGAAGGGAGCUUGCUCCUGGAUUCAGCGGCGGACGGGUGAGUAAUGCCUAGGAAUCUGCCUGGUAGUGGGGGAUAACGUCCGGAAACGGGCGCUAAUACCGCAUACGUCCUGAGGGAGAAAGUGGGGGAUCUUCGGACCUCACGCUAUCAGAUGAGCCUAGGUCGGAUUAGCUAGUUGGUGGGGUAAAGGCCUACCAAGGCGACGAUCCGUAACUGGUCUGAGAGGAUGAUCAGUCACACUGGAACUGAGACACGGUCCAGACUCCUACGGGAGGCAGCAGUGGGGAAUAUUGGACAAUGGGCGAAAGCCUGAUCCAGCCAUGCCGCGUGUGUGAAGAAGGUCUCCGGAUUGUAAAGCACUUUAAGUUGGGAGGAAGGGCAGUAAGUUAAUACCUUGCUGUUUUGACGUUACCAACAGAAUAAGCACCGGCUAACUUCGUG